RNAcentral lists this ribosomal RNA (455 nucleotides) under uncultured bacterium. RNAcentral's name for it is "bacterial SSU rRNA". It matches the Rfam family "Bacterial small subunit ribosomal RNA", at positions 30 to 481 of the family's 1533-position model. The record is from RNAcentral.
AUUGAACGCUGGCGGCAGGCCUAACACAUGCAAGUCGAGCGGGGUUUUCGGACCUAGCGGCGGACGGGGUGAGUAAUGCGUAGGAAGCUACCCGAUAGAGGGGGAUACCAGUUGGAAACGACUGUUAAUACCGCAUAAUGUCUACGGACCAAAGUGUGGGACCUUCGGGCCACAUGCUAUCGGAUGCGCCUACGUGGGAUUAGCUAGUUGGUGGGGUAAUGGCUCACCAAGGCGACGAUCCCUAGCUGGUUUGAGAGGAUGAUCAGCCACACUGGAACUGAGACACGGUCCAGACUCCUACGGGAGGCAGCAGUGGGGAAUAUUGGACAAAUGGGCGAAAGACCUGAUCCAGCCAUGCCGCGUGUGUGAAGAAGGUCUUCGGAUGUAAAGCACUUAAGUUAGGGAGGAAAGGGGACGAGGUAAAGUUAAAUAGCACAUAGCCUUGACGUUACUCG